UACGAAGGGGGCUAGCGUUGUUCGGAAUUACUGGGCGUAAAGGGCUCGUAGGCGGCCAACUAAGUCGGAUGUGAAAUCCCCAGGCUUAACCUGGGAACUGCAUCCGAUACUGGAUGGCUUGAAUCCGGGAGAGGGAUGCAGAAUUCCAGGUGUAGCGGUGAAAUGCGUAGAUAUCUGGAGGAAUACCGGUGGCGAAGGCGGCAUCCUGGACCGGCAUUGACGCUGAGUGAGCGAAAGCCAGGGGAGCAAACGGG
RNAcentral lists this ribosomal RNA (254 nucleotides) under uncultured bacterium. RNAcentral's name for it is "partial 16S ribosomal RNA". It matches the Rfam family "Bacterial small subunit ribosomal RNA", at positions 524 to 776 of the family's 1533-position model. The record is from RNAcentral.